This 469-nucleotide ribosomal RNA is filed under the name uncultured bacterium. Its description in RNAcentral is "bacterial SSU rRNA". It matches the Rfam family "Bacterial small subunit ribosomal RNA", at positions 28 to 507 of the family's 1533-position model. The record is from RNAcentral.
GAUGAACGCUGGCGGCGUGCCUCAAACAUGCAAGUCGAGCGAGGCUAUGAAUUACCGCAAGGUAAGGCAUAGCCUAGCGGCGAACGGGUGAGUAACACGUGGGUAACCUACCUGGAAGACAGGGAUAACGAUUCGAAAGGGUCGCUAAUACCUGAUAAUAUCCAUCUGCCGGAUGGCGGAGGGAAGAAAGGGGAAACCCGCUUUCAGAUGGGCCCGCGUCCCAUCAGCUAGUUGGUAAGGUAAAGGCUUACCAAGGCGACGACGGGUAGCCGGUCUGAGAGGAUGUACGGCCACACUGGGACUGAGAUACGGCCCAGACUCCUACGGGAGGCAGCAGUUGGGAAUCUUAGGCAAUGGACGAAAGUCUGACCUAGCGACGCCGCGUGAGGGAAGAAGGCCUGGUUGUAACUCUGUCAUGGGGAAGAAGGAAGUGACGGUACCCAACGAGGAAGCCCUCGCUAACUACGUG